RNAcentral lists this ribosomal RNA (822 nucleotides) under uncultured organism. Its description in RNAcentral is "bacterial SSU rRNA". It matches the Rfam family "Bacterial small subunit ribosomal RNA", at positions 32 to 832 of the family's 1533-position model. The record is from RNAcentral.
AACGCUGGCGGCGUGCUUAACACAUGCAAGUCGGAUGCGAACGGCGCUUUCGGGCGUUGAGUAGCAUGGCAGACGGGUGAGGAGCGCGUAUCUGACUGGACUCAGGCUGGGGGAUAGUCCCUCGAAAGGGGGUUGAAUACCGCAUGUGCUCGGUGCUGUGAGGGCAUCGAGGAAAGUUGGCCUCUGCGGGCACGCUGAUGGCCUGAGACAGGGAUGCGUCCUAUUAGCUAGCUGGUGGGGUAAGGGCCUACCAGGGCGACGAUGGGUAGCUGGUCUGAGAGGAUGAUCAGCCACACUGGGACUGCGACACGGCCCAGACUCCUACGGGAGGCAGCAGUGGGGAAUUUUGCGCAAUGGGCGCAAGCCUGACGCAGCAACGCCGCGUGCAUGACGACGCCUUUCGAGGUGUAAAGUGCUGUCGACCGGGACGAAGGGGCGAGGGUGAACAGCUUUCGCGCAUGACGGUACCGGUGGAGGAAGCCCCGGCUAACUCCGUGCCAGCAGCCGCGGUAAGACGGAGGGGGCGAGCGUUGUUCGGAAUUACUGGGCGUAAAGCGCGCGUAGGCGGUGCAGCAAGUGGUGCGUGAAAGCCCUCGGCUUAACCGGGGACGGGCGUGCCAAACUGUUGGACUGGAGUGCCGGAGGGGGAGGCGGAAUUCCUGGUGGAGCGGUGAAAUGCGUAGAGAUCAGGAAGAACGUCGGUGGCGAAGGCGGCCUCCUGGACGGACACUGACGCUGAGGUGCGACAGCGUGGGGAGCGAACGGGAUUAGAUACCCCGGUAGUCCACGCCGUAAACGAUGGGUACUAGGUGUGGGGCUUGU